This 494-nucleotide ribosomal RNA is filed under the name uncultured bacterium. Its description in RNAcentral is "bacterial SSU rRNA". It matches the Rfam family "Bacterial small subunit ribosomal RNA", at positions 28 to 532 of the family's 1533-position model. The record is from RNAcentral.
GAUGAACGCUAGCGGCAGGCCUAAUACAUGCAAGUCAAGGGGCCAGCAAUGGCACCGGCGCACGGGUGCGUAACACGUACACAACAUACCUUUAAGUGGGAGAUAGCAUCGGGAAACUGGUGGUAAUACCCCAUAAUAUUGCGAUGCGGCAUCACAUUGCAAUUAAAGUUUCGACGCUUAAAGAUUGGUGUGCGUCCGAUUAGCUAGUUGGCGGGGUAACGGCCCACCAAGGCUACGAUCGGUAGGGGGUGUGAGAGCAUGACCCCCCCACAUGGGUACUGAGACACGGACCCAACUCCUACGGGAGGCAGCAGUAAGGAAUAUUGGACAAUGGACGAAAGUCUGAUCCAGCCAUGCCGCGUGCAGGAUGAAGGCGCUCAGCGUUGUAAACUGCUUUUGGAUGGGAAUAAUAACCUCGACGUGUCGGGGCUUGAAGGUACCAUCAGAAUAAGCACCGGCUAACUCCGUGCCAGCAGCCGCGGUAAUGUAGACGU